RNAcentral lists this ribosomal RNA (461 nucleotides) under uncultured bacterium. RNAcentral describes it as "SSU rRNA". It matches the Rfam family "Bacterial small subunit ribosomal RNA", at positions 26 to 518 of the family's 1533-position model. The record is from RNAcentral.
AGAAUCAACGCUGGCGGCGUGCCUAACACAUGCAAGUCGAACGAGAAAGUGGAGCAAUCCAUGAGUAAAGUGGCGACCGGGUGAGUAACACGUGACUAACCUACCUUCGAGUGGGGGAUAACCUCGGGAAACCGAGGCUAAUACCGCAUAACAUCGCAAGAUCAAAGCAGCAAUGCGCUGGAAGAGGGGGUCGCGGCUGAUUAGCUAGUUGGCGGGGUAACGGCCCACCAAGGCGAAGAUCGGUAUCCGGCCUGAGAGGGCGCACGGACACACUGGAACUGAAACACGGUCCAGACUCCUACGGGAGGCAGCAGUGGGGAAUUUUGCGCAAUGGGGGAAACCCUGACGCAGCAACGCCGCGUGGAGGAUGAAGCCCCUUGGGGCGUAAACUCCUUUCGACCAAGACGAUAAUGACGGUACGUGGUGGAAGAAGCACCGGCUAACUCUGUGCCAGCAGCCGC